CACGUAGGGCGCAAGCGUUGUCCGGAAUUAUUGGGCGUAAAGAGCUCGUAGGCGGUCUGUUGCGUCCGCUGUGAAAACUCGGGGCUUAACCCCGAGCCUGCAGUGGAUACGGGCAGACUAGAGGUAGGUAGGGGAGAAUGGAAUUCCCGGUGUAGCGGUGAAAUGCGUAGAGAUCAGGAAGAACACCCGUGGCGAAGGCGGCCCACUGGGCCGGACCUGACGCUGAGGCGCGAAAGUGUGGGGAGCGAACAGG
RNAcentral lists this ribosomal RNA (253 nucleotides) under uncultured bacterium. Its description in RNAcentral is "partial 16S ribosomal RNA". It matches the Rfam family "Bacterial small subunit ribosomal RNA", at positions 524 to 776 of the family's 1533-position model. The record is from RNAcentral.